GUUCCCAUAUGACUAUGUGCAUUUCUUUGUCAUGACAUUUAUCUCACUGAGAAAUAAAUAUUCAUGAACAUUUCCAUGUCUCCUAUUAGAUACAGAGUUGAUUGAAGGAAACACCCAGCACCAUAUGGUCCUUUGUGGAUAACUUCAAAGAACAACUCCUCAAGUAAGAAGACAGCCUCCUUGGUCACGAAAUUGAGAUGAGUGAACUCAAUUUUUCUCAUACUUUUUCCCUCAAACAUUCUCCUUCUACAAAAG
This 255-nucleotide long non-coding RNA is filed under the name Callithrix jacchus (white-tufted-ear marmoset). RNAcentral's name for it is "lncRNA (ENSCJAG00000085699.1)". The record is from RNAcentral. Lineage: Eukaryota; Metazoa; Chordata; Mammalia; Primates; Cebidae.